This 1797-nucleotide long non-coding RNA is filed under the name Sus scrofa (pig). Its description in RNAcentral is "lncRNA (ENSSSCG00060029090.1)". The record is from RNAcentral. Lineage: Eukaryota; Metazoa; Chordata; Mammalia; Artiodactyla; Suidae.
ACGCGUUCUCCGGCAAGAGUGGUUUCAGCUGUUUUUUUGGACGUGCUAGUAGUUAACUCAUGGGAUAGAAAUACUACCGGGAGUGGUGAGAAACAAGACCUAGAAAGCUCAGAGAAAAGCAGAUGGAGAGUGGAGCUCUUGUCUGUCUUCUCGGCUCCUAACGGCAGCCCCAGAUUCGCAAUGAAGAGCCCCACGCCACAUGAAAUGUGAGCAAGUCCACCCACCUCAUCUACCCUGGCGGCCAGUUCCUCGUUGGACCAGAUCCCUUCUAUCAUAAGCUCCUCCUCAGCACAUGGUUAUUACUGGAAUGCUGGUGGUUUGGGCAACUCUUUUUCUGGUGAGAUGGUGCAGUGGGAAGGUACAUCCCACUUCCAGCGGGCUGUCCCUCGGUGCUGGCUUGGCUUCUUGGGAAAAGAGUGAAGAAUCAGAGCCUACACGCUGCUGCUGAGCUCCACAGCCUCCAUCUUGCCUCCUCCUGUUUAGACGAUGCGGGUCCUAGUUCUGGGAAGCCCUUCCACUGGCAGAUCGCAGAGCCUCUCUGAACUUCAGGCUCCUCAUCUAUAAAAUGGACCUCCCAAGGUGGUGGUUUAGUGCUGUCAGGGACAUGUUGGCAGGAGGACCGUGUGAGCUGUUGUGUCCACAGUAGCCUGGAAAGGCCCUUCCCGCUGAGGCAUAUUGCCCAAUAAAGUAGAGGGGUGAAUUCGAAGCAAGACCUCAAGCAGGGGGUGAAGCGGACAUGAUGUAGAGAAGCUGCUGCUGAUGGCAAUGGGACCAGAAAAGGGGGGCCUAAGGAAGAGAGAACAUGAGAAGCAAAAAGGGCAGCCCCUUAACCUUCAACCUCAGAGGCUCGUGUGGGAGAAACCCAGUCAGGUCUGAGGGGAGAUCUCACAGCAAGGGGGUGGGUGGGACUUGACUCAGAUUGCAGUGGGGAGAAAUUUUAAUGACACCCCCUCCCUAGCAAACCAGCGAUGCAAGAUGGUGCCAGCACAAUAUGGUGCCAGUGAGGAGGUGGUUUGGAAUGGCUGAGGAAGGGAGUCUGGGAAGUGGCUUCAUGCAACGCUGCUCGUUCUAGUGAGAAUGCAGCCAGGUAGUCCUAGGUCCCAGGGGCCGCAGAGCCAAGAUCUGCCUCACCAGCUAUGUGCAGGGACCAUGCACUUUGGCUUCACCUCUUCCUGCCCCUACCCCACCAGCAAGCCCCAGGGACCAGGCAGGACCAUCUCUGUCCUGCGCGCGCGCGCGUGUGUGUGUGUGUGUGUGUGUGUAAGAAUGCAGGGGACUCCACUCAGACCUUCAACCCUCUUGUCCCACCACCGUGAGGCCCAUGAACAUCUCUCUGCACCAGGAAAUUAUCUUGGCUGGGAGAAGGCGGAAGGGUGAGAAAACCUUGGAAUACUGAGCAAUUUUACUCAAAAGAGACUGAGUUAAUCAUACAGAAAUGGAGCUAUGUCUAAGGGGCAAUUUAAUGGUUUCUUUUUGUUUGUUUUCUUUUUGCCCGUCAGUAGUAGGAAUUAUCAGAUCACGAUGAGAAGAGUAUAAGAAAAAGUAAGAACAAUACUGGUUUGACCCAUCUGGGUAGGUGUGUGUGUGUGAUCUUUAGCCCUCCCACAAUUAUGUCUGUACACGUUUGCUGGGGCAACUGUAUAUUUUCAAUUCCAAUCGUCAGACCUUUCCUUGAAGCUCACGUGUGUUUUGAUCUGGCCAGGAAUUGAGAAUCAUAAAAUCAUUAAAUCUGUAUUAAUUACCUAUUGCUGCAUAGUAAGUUAAUCCAAAAUUUAGCUGAAAUAAAUAUGUAUUAUC